GAGAGCAUAGCUCAGUGGCAGAGCGCAUGCUUAGCAUGCACGAGGUCCUGGGUCCAAUCCCCGGUACCUCCA
RNAcentral lists this transfer RNA (72 nucleotides) under Camelus bactrianus (Bactrian camel). It matches the Rfam family "tRNA". Rfam says of the family: Transfer RNA (tRNA) molecules are approximately 80 nucleotides in length. Their secondary structure includes four short double-helical elements and three loops (D, anti-codon, and T loops). Lineage: Eukaryota; Metazoa; Chordata; Mammalia; Artiodactyla; Camelidae. RNAcentral also lists the same sequence under 2 other names. The record is from Rfam by way of RNAcentral.